UAGGGAAUCUUCGGCAAUGGGGGCAACCCUGACCGAGCAACGCCGCGUGAGUGAAGAAGGUUUUCGGAUCGUAAAGCUCUGUUGUAAGAGAAGAACGUGUGUGAGAGUGGAAAGUUCACACAGUGACGGUAACUUACCAGAAAGGGACGGCUAACUACGUGCCAGCAGCCGCGGUAAUACGUAGGUCCCGAGCGGUGUCCGGAUUUAUUGGGCGUAAAGCGAGCGCAGGCGGUUUAAUAAGUCUGAAGUUAAAGGCAGUGGCUUAACCAUUGUUCGCUUUGGAAACUGUUAAACUUGAGUGCAGAAGGGGAGAGUGGAAUUCCAUGUGUAGCGGUGAAAUGCGUAGAUAUAUGGAGGAACACCGGUGGCGAAAGCGGAUCUCUGGUCUGUAACUGACGCUGAGGCUCGAAAGCGUGGGGAGCAAACAGG
This 429-nucleotide ribosomal RNA is filed under the name bacterium. RNAcentral's name for it is "partial 16S ribosomal RNA". It matches the Rfam family "Bacterial small subunit ribosomal RNA", at positions 355 to 776 of the family's 1533-position model. The record is from RNAcentral.